AUCUUGAUUGAUUGUGGGGGAUCAGUCAGAGUGGUGGGAAAAAGUACAGGGAAAGGAGGCAAAUCUUCUGAAAGGUCGGAAGGUUCUUCAGAGCCCCAGGGGAGAAUAGCGGAAGGCAGCUGUUACAAUAUUUUUAUAAAUACUGUUGCUGUUGAGUUGAUAACUGUUUCCCCAUGAUGAAAUCCUAACUUUAAAAUCGCCUUGAACUUGGAAAUCCCCAGCAGGCACCAAUUACUUACUGUGCAGUCACUUCACUUUCGUUUUCUAGGGUUCCCUUGCAAUCCGCUGCAGAGUUCCUCACAUUGGGCACCAUCUGCCAGGUCUGUCCAGCAGACCUUGACGAAUGGAUGAAAUGAGUACUCAGACACAGGUAUGCCGUUUAAGAGCAGCUAGGGCUAGGUGACUGACCCACUCUAGUGGCCAGAGAGCAGCCCUGAGAAGCUGGAGCUGCUUGCUUUCAUCCAAUGCAGGCACACUGCUGAAAACCUGGAGCCAACCAACCUGUAGAGGGAGGCAUUGCAGAGAGAGCCCUUUCAAAGCACACAGGAAGUGGCUGAAGUCAAUAAAGAAACAGAAGAACAAUUUGAAUGAAGAUGGAUCAAAAAGAAGACAGACAUUUCUUAAAAGCCAUCUUUAAAUAAAAUUUUACAAGCUCCCUAGUAAAUAUCUCAAGACAAAAUUGGAUGACUACACAUUUAGCAUGUUAUCAUGAUGAUUUGAAAAUAUGUAUGUGUACACAUAUAUGUAAUAUGUAUACACAAAAUGUAUAACAUAUUUCAUAUGAUAAUAAAUAUAAAUGUAAAUAUAAAUUUGACUUAAGAAGGGAAUAUAUGUUGAUAAAACUGAAGUAAGCUUAGCUCAUCAGCUUAAAUGUUGUUACUGUCUUUGUUGCCAUAGAAUAAACACUUAAAGAUAAAUAACAACUUAGCUUUAAGUUUGGAGCAUUUUUUUUUUUUUGACCCUGGGAUUAUUGACUGGAGAGAUUAAUAUGUAUUUACCUUAUUUCUUUUGUAAAAUUUAAGUUAUUUUUAAACAGUUAUUUUAUUUACACAUAAUGUCAAGCUGAC
This 1067-nucleotide long non-coding RNA is filed under the name Papio anubis (olive baboon). RNAcentral describes it as "lncRNA (ENSPANG00000049891.1)". Lineage: Eukaryota; Metazoa; Chordata; Mammalia; Primates; Cercopithecidae. The record is from RNAcentral.